This 654-nucleotide ribosomal RNA is filed under the name Salmonella enterica. RNAcentral describes it as "partial 23S ribosomal RNA". It matches the Rfam family "Bacterial large subunit ribosomal RNA", at positions 1 to 688 of the family's 2925-position model. The record is from RNAcentral. Lineage: Bacteria; Pseudomonadati; Pseudomonadota; Gammaproteobacteria; Enterobacterales; Enterobacteriaceae.
GGGUUGUGAGGUUAAGCGACUAAGCGUACACGGUGGAUGCCCUGGCAGUCAGAGGCGAUGAAGGGCGUGCUAAUCUGCGAUAAGCGCCGGUAAGGUGAUAUGAACCGUUAUAACCGGCGAUACCCGAAUGGGGAAACCCAGUGUGACUCGUCACACUAUCAUUAACUGAAUCCAUAGGUUAAUGAGGCGAACCGGGGGAACUGAAACAUCUAAGUACCCCGAGGAAAAGAAAUCAACCGAGAUUCCCCCAGUAGCGGCGAGCGAACGGGGAGGAGCCCAGAGCCUGAAUCAGCAUGUGUGUUAGUGGAAGCGUCUGGAAAGGCGCGCGAUACAGGGUGACAGCCCCGUACACAAAAGCGCAUAUGCUGUGAGCUCGAUGAGUAGGGCGGGACACGUGGUAUCCUGUCUGAAUAUGGGGGGACCAUCCUCCAAGGCUAAAUACUCCUGACUGACCGAUAGUGAACCAGUACCGUGAGGGAAAGGCGAAAAGAACCCCGGCGAGGGGAGUGAAAAAGAACCUGAAACCGUGUACGUACAAGCAGUGGGAGCACCCUUUUGGGUGUGACUGCGUACCUUUUGUAUAAUGGGUCAGCGACUUAUAUUCUGUAGCAAGGUUAACCGAAUAGGGGAGCCGGAGGGAAACCGAGUCUUAAU